RNAcentral lists this ribosomal RNA (433 nucleotides) under uncultured bacterium. Its description in RNAcentral is "partial 16S ribosomal RNA". It matches the Rfam family "Bacterial small subunit ribosomal RNA", at positions 29 to 507 of the family's 1533-position model. The record is from RNAcentral.
AACGAACGCUGGCGGCAUGCCUAACACAUGCAAGUCGAACGAGACCUUCGGGUCUAGUGGCGCACGGGUGCGUAACGCGUGGGAACCUGCCCUUAAGUUCGGAAUAACUCCCCGAAAGGGGUCCUAAUACCGGAUAAUGUCUUCGGACCAAAGAUUUAUCGCCUUUGGAUGGGCCCGCGUUGGAUUAGCCAGUUGGUAGGGUAAAAGCCUACCAAGGCGACGAUCCAUAGCUGGUCUGAGAGGAUGAUCAGCCACACUGGGACUGAGACACGGCCCAGACUCCUACGGGAGGCAGCAGUGGGGAAUAUUGGACAAUGGGCGAAAGCCUGAUCCAGCAAUGCCGCGUGAGUGAUGAAGGCCUUAGGGUUGUAAAGCUCUUUUACCCGGGAUGAUAAUGACAGUACCGGGAGAAUAAGCUCCGGCUAACUCCGUG